This 243-nucleotide unclassified non-coding RNA is filed under the name Hevea brasiliensis (rubber tree). The record is from RNAcentral. Lineage: Eukaryota; Viridiplantae; Streptophyta; Magnoliopsida; Malpighiales; Euphorbiaceae.
GACGCACUCCUCAAGCUUGGCCAUGUCGGUUUCAUCAUCCCAGGGCUUGACAUCCAACAGAAUGGAAGACUUGGCGAUAAGUGCAGGCUUCUUUGCCUUCUUGGCGUUGUAAGCUGCAAGCCUCUCCUCCUUGAUCUUUGCGGCUUCCUCAUCCUCUUCCUCAUCGGAGCCAAACAGAUCGAUGUCAUCAUCGUCUUCAUCAGCAGCGGCAGGAGCUGCGGCAGUUGUGUCCUCCACGCCGGC